This 398-nucleotide ribosomal RNA is filed under the name uncultured rhodophyte. Its description in RNAcentral is "bacterial SSU rRNA". It matches the Rfam family "Bacterial small subunit ribosomal RNA", at positions 356 to 770 of the family's 1533-position model. Lineage: Eukaryota; Rhodophyta. The record is from RNAcentral.
GGGGAAUUUUCCGCAAUGGGCGAAAGCCUGACGGAGCAAUACCGCGUGAGGGAAGAAUGCCUGUGGGUUGUAAACCUCUUUUAUUAGGGAAGAAAUAUGACGGUACCUAAUGAAUAAGCAUCGGCUAACUCCGUGCCAGCAGCCGCGGUAAUACGGGGGAUGCAAGCGUUAUCCGGAAUCACUGGGCGUAAAGCGUCUGUAGGUGGUUUAUUAAGUCUGUUGUUAAAUAUUAGGGCUUAACCCUAAGCAAGCAGUGGAAACUACUAGACUAGAGUAUGGUAUAGGUAGAGGGAAUUCUCAGUGUAGCGGUGAAAUGCGUAGAUAUUGGGAAGAACACCAGAAGCGAAAGCGCUCUACUGGGCCAUUGCUGACACUCAGAGACGAAAGCUAGGGGAGCG